This 301-nucleotide ribosomal RNA is filed under the name uncultured bacterium. RNAcentral describes it as "partial 16S ribosomal RNA". It matches the Rfam family "Bacterial small subunit ribosomal RNA", at positions 509 to 807 of the family's 1533-position model. The record is from RNAcentral.
CAGCCGCCGCGGUAAUACGAAGGGUGCAAGCGUUAAUCGGAAUUACUGGGCGUAAAGCGUGCGUAGGCGGUUUGUUAAGUCUGUUGUAAAAUCCCCGGGCUCAACCUGGGAAUGGCAAUGGAUACUGGCAAGCUAGAGUGUGUCAGAGGAUGGUGGAAUUCCCGGUGUAGCGGUGAAAUGCGUAGAGAUCGGGAGGAACAUCAGUGGCGAAGGCGGCCAUCUGGAACAACACUGACGCUGAGGCACGAAAGCGUGGGGAGCAAACAGGAUUAGAUACCCCCGUAGUCCCUGUCUCUUAUAC